AUGUUGGAAGGCAAGGCAAUGAUUCAGGAGACAGACAUGCCUGUGAAGAUGCAGCUCCAAGCCAUGUCCUGUGCCUCAGAAGCCCUUGACCUCUUUGAUGUCCUCGACUGCAAGAGCAUGGCUGCCUACAUCAAAAAGGAGUUUGAUCUUAGGUAUGGCCCUGGAUGGCAGUGUGUGGUGGGUUCCAACUUUGGGUGCUUCUUCACUCACAAAAAGGGCACCUUCAUCUACUUCUGCUUGGAGACACUCUAUUUCCUCAUCUUCAAAGGUGCUGCUGCUUGAGCUAUCUAACCAUGUACAUCACUACUUUGGAAUCCAGAGGAGCUUUUGGAAGCCUUGAAUCCUAUUCCAUACUGGAGUUAGGGGAUCAAACCUGAAUAACAAUGGAACACGGAGGUGGCAUAUCAAACUCAAAGCUUCCUUCGUGAAAACUGAAAUGUACCUAUCACAGGGUAAAGCGAUCAUGUCGUUAGAUCGAUCACCAGAGUCUCACCACAUCAACAAGCUAUCAAAACAGGGGAUGUUCCAGUCCUCCAUGGCUAGAACUGGUGGAGAGAAGCUAAUAAGAUGUGUGCAUGCAAACUGCAGGAAUUUUAAGAUCAGACAUCCACCAACCAUGCAGUGUUAAUUGUGAGUCUAUAACUUGGCAUCACAUGCAACUCAUGUAUUCGGCAUUCAAUGUGGUCUUUGCUAUUUGUCUCUAUCACAGAUUAACAGAUACAAUGAGGCUUAUCUAAGAAAUGCAAAGCUCCAAAUGUUGGAAAGCUCUUUGCUUA
RNA transcript from Musa acuminata AAA Group (dessert banana), 776 nucleotides. RefSeq lists it as uncharacterized. The record is from RefSeq and is a predicted model, not a curated record. NCBI's taxonomy places the organism in Eukaryota, Viridiplantae, Streptophyta, Magnoliopsida, Zingiberales, Musaceae. The transcript has 3 exons.